Molecule: unclassified non-coding RNA, 361 nt
Filed under: Hevea brasiliensis (rubber tree)
Lineage: Eukaryota; Viridiplantae; Streptophyta; Magnoliopsida; Malpighiales; Euphorbiaceae
Source: RNAcentral
GAAAAUAACAGCCUGGGUGAUGGUGAGUGUAUCAUAAAGAUCACACAGUGUAUCAAAUUUCCACUCUUCUCUCUCCACCGCUACAAAAAACUGCUUGAUGCCCUCUAGAGUCAAUUCAUCACGUUUUACAAGAAUCCGAACAGGAUCUGUCAUAAAUUUGCUUGUUAUCUCCAGAAUUUCAUUUGGAAGAGUGGCAGAAAUCAGUACAACCUGAAGCUCUGGUGGAAGAUAUCUGUAAACAUCAUAUAUCUGAUCUUUAAAACCACGGCUCAACAUCUCAUCAGAUUCAUCAAGAAUCAAUAAUUUUAUGGCCCUAGUUCGUAAAGUUCUCCUUUUAAUCAUGUCACAGACUCUUCCAGGA